This 440-nucleotide ribosomal RNA is filed under the name uncultured bacterium. RNAcentral describes it as "partial 16S ribosomal RNA". It matches the Rfam family "Bacterial small subunit ribosomal RNA", at positions 338 to 795 of the family's 1533-position model. The record is from RNAcentral.
CCUACGGGAGGCAGCAGUGGGGAAUAUUGCACAAUGGGGGAAACCCUGAUGCAGCGACGCCGCGUGAGUGAAGAAGUAUUUCGGUAUGUAAAGCUCUAUCAGCAGGGAAGAAAAUGACGGUACCUGACUAAGAAGCCCCGGCUAACUACGUGCCAGCAGCCGCGGUAAUACGUAGGGGGCAAGCGUUAUCCGGAUUUACUGGGUGUAAAGGGAGCGUAGACGGCGGAACAAGUCAGAAGUGAAAACCCGGGACUCAACCCUGGGAGUGCUUUUGAAACUGUUUGGCUGGAGUGCAGGAGAGGUAAGCGGAAUUCCUAGUGUAGCGGUGAAAUGCGUAGAUAUUAGGAGGAACACCAGUGGCGAAGGCGGCUUACUGGACUGUAACUGACGUUGAGGCUCGAAAGCGUGGGGAGCAAACAGGAUUAGAUACCCGAGUAGUC